This 472-nucleotide ribosomal RNA is filed under the name Paenarthrobacter aurescens. Its description in RNAcentral is "bacterial SSU rRNA". It matches the Rfam family "Bacterial small subunit ribosomal RNA", at positions 78 to 565 of the family's 1533-position model. Lineage: Bacteria; Bacillati; Actinomycetota; Actinomycetes; Micrococcales; Micrococcaceae. The record is from RNAcentral.
CUCUUGCUGGGGGAUUAGUGGCGACGGGUGAGUACACGUGAGUACCUGCCCUUGACUCUGGGAUAAGCCUGGGAAACUGGGUCUAAUACCGGAUAUGACUGUCUGACGCAUGUCAGGUGGUGGAAAGCUUUUGUGGUUUUGGAUGGACUCGCGGCCUAUCAGCUUGUUGGUGGGGUAAUGGCCUACCAAGGCGACGACGGGUAGCCGGCCUGAGAGGGUGACCGGCCACACUGGGACUGAGACACGGCCCAGACUCCUACGGGAGGCAGCAGUGGGGAAUAUUGCACAAUGGGCGCAAGCCUGAUGCAGCGACGCCGCGUGAGGGAUGACGGCCUUCGGGUUGUAAACCUCUUUCAGUAGGGAAGAAGCGAAAGUGACGGUACCUGCAGAAGAAGCGCCGGCUAACUACGUGCCAGCAGCCGCGGUAAUACGUAGGGCGCAAGCGUUAUCCGGAUUUUUUGGGGGCGNAAAG